GACGAACGCUGGCGGCGUGCUUAACCCAUGCAAGUCGAACGGAAAGGCCCUGCUUUUGUGGGGUGCUCGAGUGGCGAACGGGUGAGUAACACGUGAGUAACCUGCCCUUGACUUUGGCAUAACUUCAGGAAACUGGGGCUAAUACCGGAUAGGAGCUCCUGCUGCAUGGUGGGGGUUGGAAAGUUUCGGCGGUUGGGGAUGGACUCGCGGCUUAUCAGCUUGUUGGUGGGGUAGUGGCUUACCAAGGCUUUGACGGGUAGCCGGCCUGAGAGGGUGACCGGCCACAUUGGGACUGAGAUACGGCCCAGACUCCUACGGGAGGCAGCAGUGGGGAAUAUUGCACAAUGGGCGGAAGCCUGAUGCAGCAACGCCGCGUGCGGGAUGACGGCCUUCGGGUUGUAAACCGCUUUCGCCUGUGACGAAGCGUGAGUGACGGUAAUGGGUAAAGAAGCACCGGCUAACUACGUG
RNAcentral lists this ribosomal RNA (468 nucleotides) under uncultured bacterium. Its description in RNAcentral is "partial 16S ribosomal RNA". It matches the Rfam family "Bacterial small subunit ribosomal RNA", at positions 28 to 507 of the family's 1533-position model. The record is from RNAcentral.